Molecule: long non-coding RNA, 433 nt
Organism: Ornithorhynchus anatinus (platypus)
Lineage: Eukaryota; Metazoa; Chordata; Mammalia; Monotremata; Ornithorhynchidae
Exons: 2
Source: RefSeq, a predicted model, not a curated record
GGGAGAAAGAAGCUCAGGAAAGAGAGAGUGAGAGAGUGAGAGUGAGCACUCCAGUGGCUCAGGCUUUGGAAGGAUAAAGCAGCAGAGGUGUGCCAGUGCUGAAGACCCAGUUGGAAACCACAGCUGGACACGAUGUAGAGCAGGCUGCAUCCUUAGGAAAUGAUAAAAGAGCCAAAAUCCCCACAGACAUCACAGCCGGGUGACCACAAGGGAAAAUAAAAUACGGCUGGCCUAUUUUGCAAUCCGUGAGGAAGUUAUUCAACAUUUGGGAAAGAAAUGUAAACACAAUGCAUGCAAGCGAGCACAUGAAAUCCUAAAGCAGGAUAACAGGAGAGCGUGUUUCCCCAUUUCAUGUUGCCUCUACUCCCUAGCUGAGAUGUUGAAUUUUGAGUAAUGACACCAACUAAAAAUAAACUACUUGUUGGGCCUUAAA